RNAcentral lists this ribosomal RNA (257 nucleotides) under uncultured bacterium. RNAcentral describes it as "partial 16S ribosomal RNA". It matches the Rfam family "Bacterial small subunit ribosomal RNA", at positions 524 to 776 of the family's 1533-position model. The record is from RNAcentral.
UACGUAGGGGGGCAAGCGUUGUCCGGAUUUAUUGGGCGUAAAGAGCGUGUAGGCGGCCAUACAGGUCAGCUGUGAAAACUCGAGGCUCAACCUCGAGACGUCGGUUGAAACCGUAUGGCUAGAGUCCGGAAGAGGAGAGUGGAAUUCCCCGGUGUAGCGGUGAAAUGCGCAGAUAUCGGGAAGAACACCCGUGGCGAAGGCGGCUCUCUGGGGACGGUACUGACGCUGAGACGCGAAAGCGUGGGGGAGCGAACAGG